Molecule: ribosomal RNA, 376 nt
Filed under: uncultured bacterium
Lineage: Bacteria
Description: bacterial SSU rRNA
Rfam family: Bacterial small subunit ribosomal RNA
Source: RNAcentral
AUACGUAGGGUGCGAGCGUUAAUCGGAAUUACUGGGCGUAAAGCGUGCGCAGGCGGUUUCGUAAGACAGACGUGAAAUCCCCGGGCUCAACCUGGGAACUGCGUUUGUGACUGCGAGGCUAGAGUACGGCAGAGGGGGGUAGAAUUCCACGUGUAGCAGUGAAAUGCGUAGAGAUGUGGAGGAAUACCGAUGGCGAAGGCAGCCCCCUGGGUUAGUACUGACGCUCAUGCACGAAAGCGUGGGGAGCAAACAGGAUUAGAUACCCUGGUAGUCCACGCCCUAAACGAUGUCAACUAGGUGUUGGAAGGGUUAAACCUUUUAGUACCGCAGCUAACGCGUGAAGUUGACCGCCUGGGGAGUACGGCCGCAAGGUUAA